UAACACUUGGAGGAAUCAUCAUCAAUCACCUUUGUUCCUUUCAUUUUACCACCGAACCAAGCUUAAGGAAAAUAAGAAAAAGAGAGAUCGUGGGUGAGGGAGGAAACCGCGACUUCUUUGGCUUUCCACCUUCGAUUUCUCUCGAUUUAUAAUUCCAAUAAAAAAUGUAAUCCGGUAAAAGUGUUCGUAUCCUCCUCUUCUACACGUUGGCGUUAUUUUUGUCUGGUAGAAGUUGAUGGUGACGUAGCUCUCCUUCCUCUUGACUUCGACCAACUGGAGUUCUAGGAAGUACAGAUGAUUUCUAACGUUUUCUUCUUCAGCAGCUUGGUCAAAAAGCUCCUCCAGAAUUUUCGUUGACUUUGAUUUCAUACGGAGGUUCGGAGAUUCAGUAAGAAGCUGCAGAUGAUUAGUACAUUUACUUGUGAUUCCUGUUGUUUUUAUAAAGUUCCCUCGUCCUUGUUGCUUUAGGGUUUUUAUUUUAUCCAGAGGAAUAGGUAUUGUAUUUGAGUUUUACAUUGAAUUUAAUCGUAUAACAUCUAUUAUUAUUAGUAAUUAUGUGAUUAUUAUUAUUUGAA
Non-coding RNA from Arachis ipaensis, 575 nucleotides. The record is from RefSeq and is a predicted model, not a curated record. NCBI's taxonomy places the organism in Eukaryota, Viridiplantae, Streptophyta, Magnoliopsida, Fabales, Fabaceae.